Molecule: ribosomal RNA, 253 nt
Filed under: uncultured bacterium
Lineage: Bacteria
Description: partial 16S ribosomal RNA
Rfam family: Bacterial small subunit ribosomal RNA
Source: RNAcentral
UACGAAGGGGGCUAGCGUUGUUCGGAAUUACUGGGCGUAAAGGGCGCGUAGGCUGUGCUGUAAGUCAGGCGUGAAAUCCCCGGGCUCAACCUGGGAAUUGCGCAUGAUACUGCGGCGCUUGAAGACGGGAGAGGAUGGCGGAAUUCCCAGUGUAGAGGUGAAAUUCGUAGAUAUUGGGAAGAACACCGGUGGCGAAGGCGACUUCCUGGCCUGUUCUUGACGCUGAGGCGCGAAAGCUAGGGGAGCAAACGGG